RNAcentral lists this unclassified non-coding RNA (264 nucleotides) under uncultured fungus. RNAcentral's name for it is "partial contains 5.8S ribosomal RNA, internal transcribed spacer 2, and large subunit ribosomal RNA". Lineage: Eukaryota; Fungi. The record is from RNAcentral.
AACGCACAUUGCACCCCCUGGUAUUCCGGGGGGUAUGCCUGUCCGAGCGUCAUUGCUGCCCUCAAGCCCGGCUUGUGUGUUGGGUCCUCGUCCCCCCCGGGGGACGGGCCCGAAAGGCAGCGGCGGCACCGCGUCCGGUCCUCGAGCGUAUGGGGCUUUGUCACACCGCUCUCGUAGGCCCGGCCGGCGCUGGCCGACGCUGAAAAGCAACCAUUAUUUCUCCAGGUUGACCUCGGAUCAGGUAGGGAUACCCGCUGAACUUAA